AUUGAACGCUGGCGGCAGGCCUAACACAUGCAAGUCGAACGAGUGGCGGACGGGUGAGUAAUGUCUGGGAAACUGCCUGAUGGAGGGGGAUAACUACUGGAAACGGUAGCUAAUACCGCAUCCACUCGGAUGUGCCCAGAUGGGAUUAGCUAGUAGGUGGGGUAAAGGCUCCCCUAGGCGACGAUCCCUAGCUGGUCUGAGAGGAUGAACAGCCACCAUGGAAACGAGACACGGGCCCAGCUCCCAAGGUGGGCAGCCGUGGGGAAUAUUGCACAAUGGGCGCAAGCCUGAUGCAGCCAUGCCGCGUGUAUGAAGAAGGCCUUCGGGUUGUAAAGUACUUUCAGCGGGGAGGCGUUACCCGCAGAAGAAGCACCGGCUAACUCCGUGCCAGCAGCCGCGGUAAUUC
This 406-nucleotide ribosomal RNA is filed under the name uncultured bacterium. Its description in RNAcentral is "partial 16S ribosomal RNA". It matches the Rfam family "Bacterial small subunit ribosomal RNA", at positions 30 to 526 of the family's 1533-position model. The record is from RNAcentral.